AUUUUAAGCUGGGGGAGCCUGUGGCGACAGGCUGAGAGUGCGAUGUUAUCGCUUACCCUUACAACCUGAUACGGUUAAUGCCGGCGUAGGGAAGCUGCAGGUUUAUUUU
Molecule: non-coding RNA, 109 nt
Filed under: Peptoclostridium acidaminophilum
Lineage: Bacteria; Bacillati; Bacillota; Clostridia; Peptostreptococcales; Peptoclostridiaceae
Also listed under: 1 other name
Description: TPP sequence
Rfam family: TPP riboswitch aptamer (THI element)
About the family: Vitamin B(1) in its active form thiamin pyrophosphate (TPP) is an essential coenzyme that is synthesised by coupling of pyrimidine and thiazole moieties in bacteria.
Source: RNAcentral